AUUCACUGUGAAAUUGUAACAAAGUGUAAGAGAUUUUUGAAAUUUUGCACAUCAAUUAAAAUACUCUAUUCUGUAAUAUUUAAUUUUCCGCGUGUUUCUUUGGGGUUUUUUCUCUCUCUUGUGGAGUAUAUAUUUAAAUUAAUUCGGUAUUUUCCAUCAUUGGAAAAGAGAGAGAGAAAAAAUCAUUCGAGUGUUGAGGAAAUGAACGAAUGGGAGUCAUAAGAGAGGAGAAAAAAUCAUCGUGAUCUGGAUGAAAAUUUCUUGAAAUCUCUCUCACUCAUCUGCUAUAUAGAAUUCCCUAUGUAUGGACGUUUUGGGUUACAUAAAAAGACGGUUACGCGCAGCCUGCAUACACAUAGGGUGCAAUUAUCGAAGACAAAUAUAGGAUGAGAAAUUGCAUAAAAUAGCACACACAAGAGAUGAAGAAGCUUUGCUUGCACACAUAGCACAGGAACGGGAUGUUGGCAAAAGAAGCAACUCUCUCGAAGACACUAAUGAGCGUGAUCUGAAUAAUACAUCCCCAUGAAAAGUGAGAUGCUAAAGUGAGUAUUAAGUUGUUAGUUUACGAUGUUCAAUAUGAUGAUGGUAAUAUGAGUGGUGUACAGAAGAAGAGCGACGAGAUAAGCAUUGUUCUGAUACAUGAUUUUUAUGUGAUUUUUCUGUUAACCACGACCUAGAAGAAUAUUUGCAAGAAAAUACUUCAAAGGGUAAUUAAAGUUUUAUUAGAGAACCAUUAAAUAAUUGUGUCAUUUGCAAAUACUUUUAAUUUAUUCGAAUCAUUAAAAAAAACUCUUUUUUUUGCAUAAGAUAGCAAAGGAGUUUAUUCAUUUUCAUAUUAUGAAAUAUAACCUUUCUACAGGAUUUUCUGAAAGAUUUUUAUUUGAAAAUUUUGUAAAUUCUUGUGCGAAAAAUUCCCAUAAAAACUGAAAUGAAAUAGCGAUGAGGAAAAGAAAUUUGUUGAAAUAUUGCAAAGAAAAUUAUGCGUUUUUCGCAUCAGAAUCUAACCACAGAUGGAAAAAAUAAAAAGAAAACAAUAAAAAAUAUUUUAAACUUUGUGUGAUACGUAUGUGGUCCACGAACUAAAAGCAUUAAAUAAAAAUAAAUGAAAUGAAAAA
Lutzomyia longipalpis is the source of this 1115-nucleotide long non-coding RNA. RefSeq lists it as uncharacterized. NCBI's taxonomy places the organism in Eukaryota, Metazoa, Arthropoda, Insecta, Diptera, Psychodidae. The record is from RefSeq and is a predicted model, not a curated record. The transcript has 2 exons.